CUUAAUAGCCUUUUAACAAAAAAAUAAACUAUGAGAACUAAUAAAGCAUUAAAAAGGCUCUAACUAAAAUAUGUAAUGCUAAAACUAAAUUAUGGAAUAAUUUUCCUUUUUUCUUUCAGAAUAUUUUGUAGGGUGCUUUUCAUGUUGUUCUCCAUCAUUGGUUGUAUUUUCUGCAUGGCAUUCCCGACCCCUAUUUGCUUUGGAUAGUUAUUAGUUGCUAUGACAUGGAUCUUGCAAAAAGAGAACCAAUUGGUAUUGAAAUGAAUUACAGUUUUGUUGAAUCAGCAGCAUGCAGUUUUUACUUUUAACUAUUUAAUAUAGUUUUACUUUUUGUUGGUGUUGUAUUACUUCAUCCAUAUUUUUCAUUGAUUAGGCUAUUGAAUGACCAGCAUGCAGCUCCUACAAGUGACAUAGAGGUUAGAGCUUUUUCUAAAAUCUGUCAAUACAAUUGUACACAUAUCUGAACUAAACAUAUGGACAGGUUUGGUGAAGUUAAAACAUUUACCUUGGUAGAUAAGGUAUCAAGGAGGUGUCCAAGAAACAAAGAAGGCAGAGAGAUGUCCCUCACAUGCUUAAAACCACUAAUAAGCUAUUCUUUUAAACUAAUUUUUUUAUUGUAGAAUUUGUUGUUAUGUCACAUGCAUAAUUUGGAAAAGGACUAUCUAUAUCAUGCCUUUUUCUUCCAUGAUGUUGAAGAAGAAAACUGGAAACUGAGAGCUUAUCUGCUGUGUAUCAGGUUCCCUCUAGUAAUCAUGCCUAUAAGGAGCAGUAGAAUGCUAUGAGGUGUAUCAUAACAGUUCAAAUAUAUCUAAAACAUUUGGUGGUGUCGCCCCUCCAACACUUCAAAUUGCAGCAAUGGCUCAAUAGCAGGCUUCAUACCCUACCUACCACCAGCAGCAACAACAGCAUUUGGUGUAAUUUUCCCCCAACACUACUACUGCUCACCCUCAAACUAACAAUCCUUUUGGAAGCACUGGUCUACUGUAAUUUUCUGUUGAUUUCUCAUGUUUAUGUAUGAUGUAAAAUUAUUUUGGCAUUUGAAUUCAAAUAAAACUAUUUCCUUCUAGUUAUAUGUAGUUUUAAUAUAAUUCUAUAUUUAUAUAGAUAAGGGAUGCGGAUUUUCAGAAUUUCGAUAAAUGCAAUCUAAAUAUAUAUUAGAUAUGUAAGAAAAGUCUAGACAAUGAGAAGUUCCAAGUUUGAAAAACAAUAUUUUAUUGACUUAAAAUCUAUUUUUUUAUUUUUCUUCAUUUUUUUCUUUCUUCUCUAUUUUUUUUUUCUUCGCAUUUUCUUCGAACUUUCUGAAACCAAACAUACCCCUUGGAUUUAGAUUGUCUUUUGUGGGUUUGUUGUUUUGAAAUUUAGUGCUUUCAGUUUCCUUGAAGGAAUGAGAUCCCUGAGGAUGAGAGUUUUGGUGGGUACGAGUCUUUGGUUAAGAGUGUUGAUCUUAUUUUAAUGUUAAAAGUUCAUAAAAUUUUGAAUUUGUGUUUAUAAAAGUAACAAAUAUGGUUAAGUCUGAACUAAACAAUACAUAAAAAGUAAUCGAAAGUUAAAAAUAAAAACAAAUGAUGUCAAAAUUUAAGCAAAUAUAAGGGUGUAAGUUUUAACUUAUAACAAUUAUACAUCCCAUUCUAUCUCAUGGAAACAAAUGGUAAUUAAUUAUACAAAUAUCAUCCAAAUAAAAUUAUCUAGUUAUACAAAUAUGUUAAUAAUUUGGAAAAAGUAUCAAAAGUAAAAUAAUGGUAAGAAUAUAUACAUUCCUUGAUAAAAUUGAACUUACAAAGGAUGGUAACAAAUCCUAACAAGAUCAUGAUAUAUGUAGUAAAACUUUUAUAGCAAAUCAUAUAAUCAAUAUCGUACCCAUGGUGGUAAUAUUAAUCUUUUUAUUAAAAUUUAGUUCAUGUAUUUUUAGAUUGUUUUGUGCUUUCAUAUGUAGAGAAAACGAAAUUUAAGUUUAAAAAACAUAUUUGGUUAUUGUUUCCAUUUUUUGAAAAACUAAAAAUGGAAAAUCUGAAAAAUACUAAUUUAGUUUUCAAAAUUUUGCAAGAAAAGUAAAAAUGGGUGUAAUCCUCUAUUUAGUCCCCUAGCAUAUGUUUUCCCCUUUAUUGUUCUUUUUCUUGUUUUGUGAUCUGUUUUAGUUCAUGUUUAGGAACCCUUUUUACUCUGUUUUUUAUGGCUCAUCAUUGGCUCAUAUUUAUCUGAUUCAUUAUUGAUUUUCAGAGCCAUAUUUUGGAGACCAUGAAAAGGUUAUUUUGGGUCUAGCACGAUCAUUGGGCCCUGUAGACUUAGGGUCUGUUUGAUUGCUGUUUUGGAAAUCUGUUUUGAAAAACAGUUUUUGAGAACAGUUUUUGGUGUUUUUAGAAAAAAAAUUAUGUUUAGGAAUUGAAUUUUGGAAAACAAUUUUUGUUCUAAAAAAAAAGAAACAUGUUUGGUUAAGUUAAUAAAAAAGUUUUUUAGAACAGGUAAAACAAAAAACACAUUUGAAAAAUGUUUUUUUUUCUAAUUAAUAAAAUAUUUUCUUCUAAUAAUUUUAUAUUAUAAAUUUAUAAAUAAUUUUUAGAUAUACAGUUUAUUUAAAUUAAAAAAAUUAUUUAUUUUAUUAAUUUUAAAAUAAAAAUAUAUUUUAUAUUUUUUUAAAAUAAAUCAAAUAUGAUAAAAUCAUUUUUAUUAAUAUUUUUAUUUUAUUUUAUUAAAAAUUAUAGUAUAUUCUAUGAGAUGAGAUAAAAUUGUUCUCAUGAUUUGUUUAAUUUUUUUUUAUCUCUACUAAAUCUAAAAAUCAAAACGCCACCCACUUCUCUCACUAGGGCAUCAAGAAGCCCUUUUCUGAAGUUGCCAUCCAGAGCAGAGAAUCCCUAAUUGAUUUGUUUCUUCUUUUUUUUUUUUUUAUUAAUGUCUACUAAAACUAAAAAUCAAGAGGGCCACCCACUUCUCUCAGUCGGGCAUCAAGAAGCCCUUUUCUGAAGUUGCCAUCCAGAGCAGAGAAUCCCUAAAAAAGGCCUAUUUUCCUCUGCCACGCUCAAUCCUCGCAGGUACUAAUCUAAUCAUGUUUUUAUUUUUUUUGCAACCCCCGUUUGAUUCCCAAGAAAAUCCAUCCCCCAUUCGAUUUCCGGGAAAAUUCAUCUUCGUUUGAUUUCCGAGAAAAUACAUACAAAACCCCCAAGGAAAACCAAAAAAUUUGCUUUUUUUUGCUCCCUGUGUUUUCUGGAUCUGUUCUAGGUGUCUCUUUGCUUUUGUGCCAUUGGAUUUCAAUUUCACGAACGCUAAAUCCACGAUUUUUGAGCCGGGCUGAAAAACACAACCUUUGCCUGCAAAUCAUGAUCAGAUUACCAAAUAGCAUCUUAUUUUUUAUAUAUAUAUAAAAAAAAAAUUGGACAGAUUUUUGUAUCCUGUGCGCGGGCUGGACUGGUAGGAAAUAUCGGGAAACAGAUGUUCUCUUUAUGGCUUUUUUUGUUCUGUAAACAGUAAAAAAACGGGGAAAACACCAUUUUUUUUGUUCUCUAAACAGUGCAAUUUUGGGAACACGGAGAACAACAAAAACAAAAACAAGUUUCUAAAUCAAACAAAUUUUUGGUGUUUUUUGUUUUCAAGAACAGAAAACAGUUAUUGAAAACACCAACCAAACAGGCCCCUAGAGACUUGACGGGCGAAUCUGUUGUUUCACCUUAACAUUUUUCACCGAAGGUCCUCUCUGCUGCUGCUUCUUCCUCGUCAAUGGCGGCUACUAACCUUCUCCCUCAAACUCCCACAUUCUCCAAAUCCCUAAAAUACCCUUUAAACCCAAAGUCAUUUUCUCCAUUUCCCAACUUACUUCUCAGAUCCUCCCCUAAAACCCUGACGCUCAAAGCUGUUCUAUCCCAAAACCCUGCAAAAACCUUAACCCCAGACGCACAAGCCAAGAAAUUUCAGCACUGUUUCAGAAAAUCCGAAGAUGGGUUUCUCUACUGCGAAGGUCUCAGAGUCCAAGACGUCAUGAACCAAGUAGAGAAAAGGCCAUUUUACCUAUAUAGUAAACCACAAAUUGCGCGAAAUUUUGAAGCUUACAGGGAGGCUUUGGAGGGUUUAAGAUCGAUAAUUGGAUAUGCGAUUAAAGCCAACAAUAAUUUGAAGAUUUUGGAGCAUUUGAGGGAGUUGGGGUGCGGUGCCGUUUUGGUGAGCGGGAACGAGUUGAGGUUGGCUCUUCGAGCUGGGUUUGAUCCAACAAGGUAUAAUUAUAAAUAGAAGAGUGUUACAUUGUGCAUUGAGGGAGAAAUUAUGUCACAUUUCAAUUUCUGUUUUAGUGUUUGGUUGUAAAAAUCUAGGUUGUUGAAUUAUGUCACAUUUCAAUUUCUGUUUUUGAACGAUGAGUGCUUAGAAGUUUAUGAUGGGUGUUGUAAAGUGUUUCAAUUUCUCCUUAUGCCUUUUUACGACUACAGUUUCUCACUUAAUUUGCAAUUAACUUUUAAGUUUUCCUACUUAACAACUAACAAGUGGUUAGAUUUAUUUCUUGUCUGCUAGGAGAGGUGGUAUCCUGUUUGGUUUUUGUUUGAUCACUAUUGUAGUGGGGAGAUUAGUUUAUUAUUUGUUGGUAACUUUUUUACCCCAUUGGCAAGUGAACAUGGAAGCUCCUGCAUCCCCAAACAACUCCUUGCCACUCAACCCAGGCCUCAAGGGUUGGCAGAUUAUAUUAUAUUAAGAGGCAAAUCAUAAAAAUGAAUGCUUUCUUGCAAAUUAAGGCAGUCUCCAUUAGCUUAUUAUUUGUUUGAUCAUUAGGAAGGGGGAAAUGCAACCAAAAAAUUGAGACUUCGGUAUGAGUGUAGAACAACAUAGUAUAGGUAAACUUUGUGUAAAUCAAAAAGCGUGCUCAAUUCCUGGUUUCUCACAAUUUCUAAUAACCACAAAGGAAAUUGCACCCUAAAAGUUAGCCUUUGAUGUGAUUAUGAAACAGUUUAAUUAAUCUGAUCAAAAAACAAAACAACUUAAUGAACACUCUGCCCCCUGACUAGAGUGGGAUCAAUCAAAUUAGUAUUUUAAAUAACCUAUGAUGGCCCCAACUUUAACCCAUGAUGGCCUUUUUAUCUCUAUCCAGUGCAUUUGGAAAAAGUAGAAUAGAAAAUAUUUUUGUGGACUUUAGAGGUUCGAUUUAUAAGAAAAUUAGGAUAAUCGUAUUAGGAUAAGCACCUAACAAAAAGGAUGCACAACCCAGAAAAACAUGCAGCAUACAAGCAGCGCACAAACAGAAAAGAAAAGUAAAACCUAUGAUUCUAACUAGCUAAACAAUCCCCAUAAUAUCAGCAAGGUCCAAAAAAGGCCAAGCAGUUUAGCUCACAUCCCCUUUGGUCCACUAGAACCAUCUUUAGAAUCACAUACUUGACCAUUGAAUAAGAUCUGUCCAUACCAUCAAAUGAUCUAUGAUGAUGCUUCUUCUAAGUGAUCCAGAACUGCAUAGUGGAGCCAGCUUCUAAAUUGUCUUGUGAUUGGCUCCUGCAAGAGCACCAUGCCAACCAAGAAAGAAUCCUUAAUUGUUCAAGGAAAAACGCAAGAGAUGCCAAGCAUUGAAAACGCCUAGGACCAUAGGCCUGAAAUCUAACUAUAAUGAAUAUUUAGUCAGCAAAUUCGAGGUUUGGUUGGCCUUGAAAAAGCUCUUUCUCAAAUCUCUGCUUUGGUGGCUGAGAGGCCUGCAUGAGGUGAAAAUUUGUUAACACAAGAUUUUAUAGAUCUAUUAAUUUGCUUCUUUAUUCGGGUUUGAUUUGGUGUUAUGCUUGCGCAAUUCCCUGUUUAGUUUAACUCCUUGUGUUGAUUUCUGGAUGAAUAGGUGUAUCUUUAAUGGGAAUGGGAAGCUUUUGGAGGAUUUGGUGCUAGCUGCCCAAGAAGGUGUCUUUGUCAAUGUUGAUAGUGAAUUUGAUUUGGAUAAUAUUAUAUCAGCUGCAAGAAUUGCUGGCAAGAAGGUCAAUGUUUUACUUAGGAUCAAUCCAGAUGUGGAUCCUCAGGUAUGUGCUGUCAUUGUUUAAUUCUAAUGUUACGAAUAAUGUAAUGUUGUAGGGUGUUCAUAGAACAGGUAUUUCCCUUAGGUUGGGUAAAUUUGGUUAUGAGACUUUAACGAUAAAACUACAUGGAACUUAACUGACUACUUAAAAGUUUUCUGUUGAUUAAAUUCACUCAAGGGUCAAGUUUUGGUUAAAUAUGUGGUCCAACUCCUGAAACAUGUGAGAAUUUGGAGUGGUCAAAAUUUUAUGCAUCGAUGGUCGUUUUUAGUUAUUUUAAUCUCUAGGAGAAAUGUACUUGGUGCUAUUUAACUACUUCAUUUUUAGUUGUGUAAAUAUGUUCAUGUUUUGGGCUGUUCAUAGAAAAGGUUUUGCUCCUUCAGUUCAAAGUUUGGCUUUGUUCAUUUAGUAAUAUGAAUUGAAGAGAAUAAAACAUUUGAACACAAUUGACAUCUCAAAAGUUUUCUGUUGAUUGAAUUCAUUCAAGAGUUGGUUUUGGUUAAAUGUACGAAUCUUGGAACUUGUGAAAAUUUUGGGUGCUAAAACUUUAUACAUCCAUGAUUUUGGUUUAGUUGUUGUCAUUUUAAGGUUAAUUAUUAUUAAUUUCUUUAGGCAAUAAAAUUUAUAGAUAUGCAAAAAAAGCAAUACAACAAAUUGCACAGUAUACAACAAGUACCAAACGACAAUCUCGGAAAAGAAAAAACAUAAAAAUCAACUCUCUCCCUCAACAUGAUCCCAACCAAUCAAAAUUAAUCAAAGAUAUUGAGCCUUUUUUAUUUACAACCUAACCCAUACUAAAGGAUUACUUAGGAAUGAACAUUUUAGCUUUUAAUCUAAAUAUUUCUUGUUUUCAAAUGCUUUUCAAUUUCUUUCCUUCCAAAUUGUCCACAAAAUUCAUAAAGGAGCAAUUCUCCAUACUUUCUUCAUUUUCUUCCCAUAGAGGCCAACUUAAAAGAGUCUCUUUGAUCAUGGAAGGGAACACCCAAACUAUGCCAAAUAAGGAGAAUAGAACUGUCACCCUCUCCUUUGAAGUUGAUCUAAUGUCAACACCUUUCUUCAGCUAGCUCCCUAAGCAAAAAAGCUCGCCUUAGAUGGGACCCAUGAAUUCCAAAUUAUACUCGUUGGGAAGGGAAUUGAUCUCCUUGACCCUCAAAUAGAAUAAAGAGAUUUGAUAGAACAACUUCAUUCCUCAAAUCCAUCCAACCACCAUAUCGUUUUCUUCCUUCUUCACUAACUUAUAUUGCAAUCUUGAGAAAAAAAGUCUCAAUUAUAUUCAAUUCCCAAUUGUUUAAGUGUCUAGAGAAACAUGAAUUCUAAUGAUCCUCUUCUCAUCCCAUAAAUCUGCCACCCAAGCCUCUGUGGAUAAGGCUAAAACAUACAAAGAGGGAAAGGACACACACAAGGGCCUUGGUGAGAAAAAGGUCCUUGGUGCUACUUAUUUGAUUUUAUGUCGAGUUAAUUGGUCAUGUUUUCCAUCAAGUCAAAUGUAUGUUAUGAUAUAUUUGGAUUUGGGAAUACUAUCAUGUAAUUCUGACUAAAAAAAGGUACAAUCAUUGCUUUAAUUGUGGUCUUGUCAAUUAACCAUAAAUUUUAAAUUAUCUAUCAGCAGAAAUGAUUCAAAGUUCUCUAAAACUAUCAUCCUCCAGAAUCAUCCUUCCAAAAAAAAAAAAUCAUUUUUUAAAACCCAAGCUGAGAGUACUUUAUUAAGAAGUUGUUGGUGCCAUCUAGUUAAGAAGUUAGAUAUCUGGGUAUUGGAGGUUAAGACCCCUAUUUGCUGCAAUCCUUUGUGAAUAUUUUAUAAUAGAGCUAGCUAGGUUCGAAUUUUUCAGUGUCAUAAUCUUCAAUUUUGCACUUAAAUAGUUAUGUAUGUAUAUAUUUUUUUCAUAGGUCCACCCAUAUGUAGCUACUGGGAACAAGAACUCCAAAUUUGGUAUUAGAAACGAGAAGCUGCAAUGGUUUCUUGAUGCUGUAAAGGCACAUCCCAAUGAGCUGAAGCUUGUGGGGGCCCAUUGCCAUCUUGGGUCUACCAUUACCAAGGUAUGUCAUUGACUUUCUUCCUUUCGUUUUUUUUUUACUAUGAUUUUUCAAAGUUGACUUGAGUUAAACAAAGCUUUUUCUGUUAUUUGAUGAUUACUUGUCUUUGCAUGGUUAACAUUUUUUAAAAGAUUAAAUUAUUUUAGAUCUGUUUCUACUUAUAUCUCACCAAAUCAAGUAUGUGUAUAUGUGAAUUGUGCAUUCUGGAAAUUGACAAGGACAUCUAUCUGCUAAUUUCAUAAUAGUCAUUUUGUUUUUACGUGGCAAAACCCCUAUUCCUGUAAGCAAACAUUAGUGUCCCGCAUUGUGAUAAGACAAUAUUGUCUUUGAGAUCUUUCUUUGUUGCAUGUGUCUUCUCAGCCUUUCAAGUUGAUUAACUGAUCUGGUACUGAAACUUUCUUUCAAUUGAUGUUGGUUGAAGGUCUGUCAUAACUUUUUCCUCUUGCUCAUGAUUUAUUUGUUUUGCUCUCUUAAUAGACCUUUUUAUUCUCCUCCAUUUUCACUAUUCUUCUUUAUCAAUCAGUCUUUCUACCUUUUAAAUUUUGAAUUUUAUUUUUCUUAUUUUCAGGUGGACAUAUUUAGGGAUGCUGCAGUUCUUAUGGUCAACUACAUUGAUGAAAUCCGAGCUCAAGGCUUUGAAAUAAGUUACCUAAAUAUUGGAGGUGGUCUUGGGAUUGAUUACUAUCAUGCUGGUGCUGUCCUUCCCACUCCGAGAGAUCUUAUAGAUACAGUGAGGAUCAUAUUUCUAAAUCUAGGCAAAUAGCUUGUAUAAUACACAGUGUGUGCAUAGUAUCAUGAUUGUCCAUAUCUUCACCAUGGUAGUAAGCAUGUUUAAAUAGGUUUUGAAAAUGACAAUUCCUAAUAUGUGGCUAGCAAUUAUACUUCUUUACAUUCUUGAUACCUUGUGCAUAAUGCACUGAAUACUAUUGACAGAACCGUACCUAUAAAUCUGGAAACUGGGUGAGGAAACCUUCCAAGCUCUGGCACAUCAUAAGUGGGUCUUAGAAUUCUAGAUCUACCUAGUCUACGCCUUAUUUUGAGCUUUCAAUUUUUCUGUUCCACUAUUCAGAAACAAGAAAGCAGUAAAAGACAUGUAAGAAAAGGAGGGAUUUAAUUAAUGGGGGAAAAAUUGUUGCCAGCUGAAUCCCGACUAAAGUGAAGCAAAAAGGACUUUUUUUUGUUAAAAAAUAAAUAAAUAAAUAAAAUUGAUGGAUUCUUAGACGAUAAUGAUAUAUAGGCAGUUAAGGGCCCCCUAAUUUAGAAUACUUUGAUGCUUUCAACAACUUAAUUCCACACACUUUUAUGAUAUACUGUAUUAUAGAUGCUUGGGUUCAUGCUUACAUAUUUAUGCAUCUGUUGGUAUGAUUUUGGAUUAAAUAGGGAAUCAGAUUUGUAUGUUUGUGGGUAUCUGGCUUUGAUGCUGAUAAUGCUGGCUUGGAUAUAUUGAUCAUGCCAGGCCCAGCAUGUUGCAAUCUUGACAUGGCAUAUAAACUCCUAGUUCAAUUUGUUAUGUGGUUUUCAUCGGUGCUUCCUUUUUUCAAGGAAUAAUCACUAGCCUAGGUUGUAGACCUUAAUGCAUGUCGAUGAUGCUCAUUUCCCUGCAAGACUAAGGGUUGACUACAUUGAGAUAGAUACUUUGAAUCUUUACAAGCUGCUUGAACUCAUGUCCAAUUAUGAUAGUUUUAUUUCAAAGGUUUCUGAGAUUGGAUGAAAUUUUGGGAUUUCUUUUCAUGAAGGAUUGAAAAUGAUGCUCAAAUGCUGAUUGAGACCAAGCUUCCUAGUGGAGUAUGGUCAUAACGAGAAUUGUCAGAAUUGGCAAUUAUUGCUUCAAGCAACAAAAGGUCAAUUAAUAUUUUUCAUUAUGGGUUGUUGCUGUAGGUUCGGGAGCUGGUUCUUUCACGAGAUCUUAAUCUUAUCAUUGAACCUGGGAGAUCACUUAUUGCUAACACUUGCUGCCUAGUUAAUCGGGUCAUUGGAGUGAAAACUAAUGGAACAAAAAAUUUUGUUGUGAUUGAUGGCAGCAUGGCUGAACUUAUCCGUCCUAGUCUUUACGAUGCUUAUCAAGUAAGUAAUUAAAUUAGAUCAGCUACUCUUGUUGUUGAAUCUGCUUUUGGCUGCAUGUGGUGAUUAAAAAUGAUGAAUAUUCUGCUUUUUAAUAUAAUUUAUUGAGUUAUUGAUAUUUAUUUUUAUUUUUUUCAAAGAAAAAACGUUCUUAAGAGUCUGUUGGCCCUUCACAUCAGAAAGUUGUUGGUGGGUUUUCCUUUGGCCCUAUUCCAUGAAACACACGUCCAUACCAGCUUUUCUAGUAGUAUCAUGAGUGUCUUCCUGAAUACUUUCAAUGAAGUACUUGGAAAGCGUGAUUUCUUGAGGUGUCAAAUUGAAAUAUGCUGGUGUAGUAAUAUUGAUACUAAUUGAUCAUAUCUCAUUCCUUAAGAAUGGAUCUACAAUUGAGAAUCUGUGUACUAAAUAUAAAUUUUUGUUUGAGCCACUCUAGAUGACAAAGGCGAAUUUCCAUUGUGGCAAUUCUGAUGCUCUCCUUUUUCACUGGAAAAGCAUGCAGCUGUUUCCCACAUGAUAUUUGGGAUUAGCUCCAUUACAAGUCAGGGUUUUUAGAGCAUUGGAAACAGGACUUGCAUUGAGUAAUGAACACCUUCUUGCACACAUUAACUGCUAUGCACUUGUGACAUCCUUUCAAAGAGCAGAUUCAUGCCACAUGUCAUCUUAUUUUGAGGUUAGCCUCAUUGCAUUUGUACACUCCAUAACUGUGGCAAACACUGACAUUCAUAUCCCUAUGUACCUGUCUUUGCAACCUUACUGAGCCAAAGAGUUUAUUUGCCCCUGCCUUUUCUCCACUAAAAGCUUGACCCCUAUUUUAAUAGAUUGAUCUAGUUCUUCAUGAACCAGGCUAUUAAUCUUCAUUUUCUCAAGUUUGUCUCCUUUUUUUUCUGAAGAAAUUAUGUGGUGGUAAAGAAAGUAAACACAAUUUUAUAACUUGAACAUUAUUAUGCUCUUGUAAUCUUUUCUUACAACAGUUACGUUUUUUGGCAUAUCUUGGUUACAGUUUGCUUCUCUUUGUCUGAUUGCAGCACAUAGAACUGGUGUCUCCUCCACCUUCUGAUGCUCAGAUUUCAACUUUUGAUGUGGUGGGCCCUGUCUGCGAAUCUGCAGAUUUCUUGGGGAAGGAUAGAGAACUUCCCACUCCACCUAGGGUAUGAGCUUGGUCUUUUCUAGGGGAUGUAUGGACAUUGGCCGUAUAAAUCUUAUUUAUUUAUUUAUUUUUAGGCUGCAAUAAUCGUCGAUAUUUUUGCUGAUUUAGAGUUCUACUUUUCAGGGAGCUGGCCUGGUUGUUCAUGAUGCGGGUGCUUACUGCAUGAGCAUGGCAUCAUCUUACAAUCUCAAGAUGCGCCCACCUGAGUACUGGGUAUGGAAGUUUCGCUUUGAAUUGUUUUUACCUGAUUUUUAUUUAUUUUCAAAUUUGAUUUCAUCUCUUAGCUAUGUCUUAGUAAAUAAUUCUGUUCACAUUCAUUGAUUAGAUUAAAUUUUAAUCAACCUUCAUUUGGUACUAUCUUAGAAUUCAUUAAUGGCUAUUCUUUGGAGUUAAACAAUCUCCUAAGAUAUCUUACUGCUUAGGGAUCUUAUUUCCAUUGAAGGGCAAAUCCUAGACGUGGCAACUCGCUAGUUGUAACAUCAAAUGAUUUUCAAGGCCUCGUGAUGGUUUCCUUGUAGAAGUCAUCAGUUGGUCCAUGAAUCAUCAUUUAUCACUGGCUUAUAAAUCCAACUUUUCCUUGUAGUAAAUCUUAAAACAUAGAAUUAAAGUGGCUGUUCCACUCAUCUCUGCCAUACAAAUGAUGCGACAAAAUUCGUGAUAGUGUCUGCCACUAAAUUUCCAGCAUGCCUCAUGCAUUUAGUUAAAAUUUUAUUUUGCUCUUUCCCAAAUUCUAUUCUUUCAAGAAAUAAGUGCUGGGAUUUUGAAUUGAUGUCUUAGGUUGAAGAUGAUGGAUCCGUGUCCAAGAUCAGGCAUGGAGAGACAUUUGAAGACCAUGUAAGGUACUUUGAGGGGCUUUGAUUGUAUGGUGGCAGACAUUGACAUUCCUACUUAGGGCUAAGAAGCUUGUUUGUUGCUUUCAAUCUAUGCAUGGUCUGUUGGUGGAAAUUGUGUAUCUGAAUACUCCAUAGUAGCUGAAUUUUAUUUAUCAGCUGAUCUAUCAAUUUAUUAUGAUCCAUUAUUAGACAAAACAAAAUAUGAUGAUGAUGAUAGAGAGAGAGAGAUGUUGACAAGUCAACUUAACUUUCUCCUUAAGUCUUUCUUAAACCACCUUCUAUUUUUGCCAGUUGCUAGGCAAGCAAGCAGUGUGCCAUGCAUUAUCUUUCUGUUAAGAGUCAUUUCCAUUGUAGGCAGUUACAUAUGGGCAUUGAUCUCAUUUCUGAAGUAGCACCUUUGGUUUUGCUUCACCUAUAAUCAUCUGAAAUGGGGUAGGUAGAUGAGGGAGAAAAAUGAGAUGUUGGUACACUAUGUAGCAUGGCUAAAACUCUCCUUUACUAAAAUGCUAGUAUAUCAACAUCACAGACCUCACCUCACCUUUGUGAACAAACCAGGGAUCACCAUCUUUUCAUCUAUUGAACCUGGAGAUUGGGUGAUACUGAGAUUUAAUAUUGUGCUAAUGACGAUUGGAUUGGUUUGAACCGGACAAAGACAAGACGUGGGAGAUGGGGUUGGCAUUGAUGAACCCCACCACAGCUCCAUGGUUUGGUGGAACACAUGCAUGCUCUUUAAUAGACAAUAACCCUUAGGUGACACGAUAUUGUCAUUAAUUUUUCGGUUCAUCCGUCAAUUCAAACUUGGAGAUGUUCUUACUCGCCCAAUUAAUGCAUGACCUGCCCUACUCUUGUAACGCGGAAAGUAAUGGUAUUUGUAGAAAAAUAGACCUGGGUUUUUAGCCAUUUGAGGGGGGUGAAACAGGGGAAAGCAGGGUGGGCAUGUUGAGAUUAUAGAGGACCAAACAUGGAUAUAUUGUUUGUUGAGAUGUUGCUCCCUUUGAUUUUUUGUUUUCUUUUCUUUUUUCUUUUUUCUUUUUUGUAUUUUGGAGAAGGAAAUGCUCGUCAUUUCACCACUUUUACCCAUCUCAUUAGAUAGCAAAAGAUGAUUGGGUAAUCAAUCAGAAUGUGACGGAUAAUGAUUUUUAAAAUAGUUUUUUAGAACAGUUUUUUUUAAAUAAAGUUCUUAAAAACAAUUUUUUAGAACAAAUGACCUUCCGAUAGUUAUUUUUUAAAACAAGUGAAAAUAUAUCUUGAAUAAAUGUUCAAAACUUGUCUUCUAUUAAAAAUUUGUCAAAUAUGUUUUUGAAUAUAAAAAACAAUUAAUUGUUUUUAAUAAUAAAAAUUGUUUUUAAAAAUCGAUGCUACCUAUAAAAGUAAAGAGCUAUUUGCAGACCCCCAUUUGGGGCCUUUCAUGCAGCUGCUCAUUUUGCCACGUGGAAGAGCCUUGCUCAACCACGUGUCUUCUUUUGAGAGGACAGUGCAGAAUCAUAUGGUGCUUUUGAAGUGCCAAUGGAAGGUUGACAGGUGGCAUGGGGAUCUGCAGGCCGUUGUCUUGAGGAGCGUCUUCUGUUAUUAGUGGCGUAGUGGAGGCGGGCAGCUGCAGAGAGGGAGGUGCCUGGGCUGCCAUUGGAAGAUAUUUUUGGAGCUGCAGGAGAGAGGGAGGUGCCUUUUUCUGUUGCAGGAGGAGCGUAUCUGCAGGAGGGGGGUGCUUUUUCAGAGGGGGCGAUUCUGCUGAGGAGGGGGGAGAUAUUUUUUUGGAGGAUGGUAUCAUUUUCAGGAGGGCUGGCUGGUAGGAAUAGAGAGAGACAUUAGAGCUUUAAGGGAGGAGAGUUUAGCUUGAGAGAAGAAGGAACUCAGGCAUUUGGAAGACGAGUCUAGGGUAACAAGGAAGAAAAGGAAAUCUGAGAAGGCAGUUCCAGGUACGUUUGAUGUAGUUUUUUUUUCAUCAUUUCCACUCAUGACUCUGUUUUCUUUGAUCUUCUAUCUUUUUUUUCUAUGGUUAUCUCUGAUUUUCUGGGCAUUGGAUGAUUGUUUGAGCAUGUGAUGACGUAUUACUUUUCUCUUACAUUGUUUAUCUGAAUAUGGCUCACUCCUAUGAUGGAAUUUUGUUGAUGCUUUCAUCUUGAUAUUUGUUAUGACUUGUCUUGUUGCACCACUGGUUGGGGAACCCUUGAUUUCAACUUGAAAGGGGAUCCCACUAUGGCUCUGCUCACCUUAUCUAUUGGGUUUUAAGUAAGUUGUGUUUUGUCUUGCUCUCUCACCUCUAUUUCCGGUGCCUCAACCCAUAUCUCUGCUCUCUGGUUCAUAUUUUUGGAUCUGCUCUGGAUGAUCGUUUGCCUGUUCUGACCUGUGCUUGAGAAUGAGAGGGCUGCGCGUUAGCUUACUACCCCAAAUCUGUGACCUUAGUGGACAAGACAUAUGCCUGGUUUACAUCAGCCGCUAUUCUAGCUGUUAGGUUUGCCAUUGAUACAGAAAGCUAUAUUCUCCUUUGGUGGCAGCGAGAGUAAAACGGGGUCGGGCUCCAUUAGGACAUGCCAUGUGUGGAUGUUCUCACAUGUUUAUAUUAUGCUCCUCACAAUUUCCAGGUGUUGCUUUAAGCCUGUUUUAUUCCUUGUCAUAAUAGCAAGUGAAAGAGAUCAUAAUGAAGGAGAUUUGACCAUGGAAUAAUCCAAAGAACCAGAAUUCAAGAGUUAGAGAUGCCAUGAGAGGUAUUAAUGGUUUACGGAACUCAAAAGCUCUUCUGUAACCUCUCAUCCUCUCACUCAGAGUCUCUGUUCCUCGGGUCUAAGCCAUGACCAGUGAGAGAGAGAGAGAUACGCAGACAAUAGAGGUGUGGCAAUUCUUCUCUACUGUAUCGACUAAUGAAGGGUCCUCAGGCACUGGUGAGGCAGAGAUUAAAGCCGCCAUAGGACUAUCUGGGCAUGGUUUCAACUCUGUUUGUAUUAUAAGGAUUUUCCUAACUCGGUCACACAUGGUUAAAGCUCAGGAUGGUAUGAAGGCUGCAUUGGGAUGCAUGACUGAAAAUGACUGUGGAUAGUACAUGUAUGAUACUGUCAAGGGAAGGGACUGGUUAGGUGUCCAGGAUGCUAUUCAGUAAGUGUGUGGGGAGGCACCAGAAGCAGUGAUAAGGCUUGAGAACUACACCUCCAGUUUGGGUGCAUGGAAGCCUUAUCCACCGCCACCGAUGUAUUCCAGACCUGGGAAGUCGUCACAUGACUUGCUUAGUGACAGCCAAUGCAAUUCCAUCUCAAGAGACACAGUUGGCCCUGAGGAUGCGUUUAGGGGGUUUCCAUCUAAUUCGAGUCCAUCCUGAAGUCUUCCAUCCGCUGACCUGGUGCCUCCAUCAGUCCCGGAUGGUGAUAUUCAUGAGCUUCCUAGGCUCCCCUUCUAGUUUGACCUUGAAACCUUCAAGACCUUCAAGUGGGAUAGGUCAUCCUGCCUCCUUUUGGUUGCCAGUGAUCCCAACCUUUUUUUUUAUAUACUAUAAAUAAAUUGGUGGUAUCAGGUACAACAUUUCGGUUGCCAUUACCUCUGCAAGCUGUUCCUCUCAGUUUCUCCACCCCCUCAAGUGAUCAGAAAAUGAAGACAUCCAGCAUGCGCCAACUUCUUCUGUCAAUGAUAAUAGUCAACUUGAAAAUGCCGAAUGAUUUUAAGUAACUCCAUGGGAUAUAAAUACAUUGUUCCAGACAUUGUUCCAAGCAUGGAAGGGUAAGUUCGCAAGCAAUUUCAGCGUGUUCUCGAGAAACAAAAGAUGCAGUUCAUGUUCAGAAUAAAGGUAACAAGUGUUGAUACAUCUGGAGACCUUGUUAAAUUGACACUUGAACCAGCAGCCAGUGGUGAGCAGAGCACACUUGAGGCUGAUUUUGUUCCUGUCUCAGCUGGCGUCCGUGCUAUUGAUGAUGUAAUUCCAGGUUCCAUGUUAACUCACAAGGCAGAAGAGGAGGGGAGCUUAUAGGUGCAAGAGUUGACUGAAUUGGAGAGACAAGGACAAGGGAUGUCUGUGGUAAGAUAGAUGUGAUUUGUUACAGGCCACAACUGUUCACGGCUCGGACCAAGUGACUGUGCCAGCCGCUUCGUCUGAAUCGUACUGCACUUCUAAAUCUUGUUCUAGCGAACGUUGGAGAUGGAGCAAUAAUCAUAAACAAUCUACUUCAGCAUUUGAAAGAGCACAAAAACCCAGUAAUGGAAGGAGUUUUGGCUGACAUAGAGAGCAUGCUAGUUCAGGGAAGAAUGGAAUUGCCUCUCAGCUUGUGUUUUGCAGUUUUGAGAGGAGAUGACCUAUUGUUGUAUCAGUUGCUGAAACGUGGUUUGGAUCUAAACGAAUUGGACAGCAACGGAUGAAUUCCUCUGCAUAUUGCAGCGUUCAAAGGGAGAGCCAAAUCUAAAAAUAGAUUCUUGUUCUACCUAUUCAUAGGAAGAAGAACCCCCAGUGCAAAUUCAAAGUUCUGAAGUUUUGCUGCUUCCCUACAAGGAAGAAACAUCAACUGCUGUAGAGAUCACAACAGAACAAGUUGGGUCUUCAGUAGUUUCAGGCUCCAAUGCAGAAUUAUUGGACUUUGAUAGCUGGUUCACAAGGCUCCUCAUUCAUAUGGCCACCUCGGGGUACCUCUGAUCAGUCCUCGCCCAUAAUCAGUUUCAGUAUACUCAUGAUCUUGCAGUAUUCAUCACUCUGGUUCCGUUGGGAUUUUAGAGAAGGCAUGCAACUGGUGUUCAAGGUGCACCAAGUUCAGAAUCCCACUUGUGCACUGGACCUACAAGCAUGACCCGUUUUGCAUGGCCACCUUUGGCAUGCAACCAAGGGGCCACUUGUCAUCUUUCACUUCCCCCAUACCUCUUUGAUUUUGAAAAUAAUUCCCAAACUUCAUUUUGUAAUUCCAAAUUCUGUUUUGUUUUAAAAUAACUUCAAGUCUUCAAAGUUUUCAUCCUUAGAGUCUUUAGGUUCCACAAGACUCAUUUUCAAUAAAAUUUGGUUGCUAUUUCCUCUUCGGCAAGCCAUUUUCACAUUUUCUAUUUUUUUGAAAUGUUUUAAAAUAGGGAAAAUUAGGUUUUGGGCUCUUGAUAUGGAAUAUAUAUGGUUUUGAAAACCUAAGUGUAUAAAAUAUGAGAUGUCACUGUUAAUUGGUAAAAUAAUAUCCAAAACAUGCAUUAUGUCCUGUUUACUUUUCUUCUUCCCAGAUUGCCCCUAAAUUUCUCCAUGUCAUCAGCAAAUUAUCCCAUGUCAGCAGAACACAAAGAAACCCGACCCGAGAACCAGGAAUCUCUCUCUCUUCCCGUCAUUUUGCCCUAACCCCAUCUCAGGAAAUUCCCAAUUUCUAAAUUUCUCAUCUUCUUCCCACAAGCCCCUCGUUGAAUUUGCUAGCUACCUCUUCAUGUCGUGGCAUUUCGGUCGACAACCCUUCAAUCAAAUCUUUCUCAUAUUUCAGAUACGUGGGUUUUCAAAACCAUAUAUCUUCCAUAGCAGCCUGCAAUCACAACUUUCCCUUUUUAAUACACCUGCUUCACUUGCUCCAAUUUUAAAGUGCCCAAAAAAAUUUUCACUUGCGUAAUUUCCUCACGAAAAUGUCUUCCAUCGGAACUUCAAAGGGAAUCCUGGAAAUCGGAAAGUUCGCUUUCUAUGUCUCAAUCCCGAUUGAUCUGAUGUAUACUUUGGCAAACAAUUCCGAGAAUAUGAAGAAACUCGUCCAGAAGGUAUUCUUUUUCCUCAGUCGGUGCUAUGAAAUUGGUGUGUUCUGGUUAUUGAAUUUGUGAUUACAUGACACCUGGGGAUUUUUUGAAGUAAAAGAGAAGAAAAUGCUUAAGAAAAUGGACCAUUCUGAAGCAUUUUAUUUUUCUUUCAUCCGAAUGGUCCUUAGUUUGUGGAGAAUAUUCUCGAUAGGGCUGAACUAGUUUUUCUUUAGAAGAUUGAAUCGAGAUUUAUUACGUUUUUGUGGUUUGGAAAAUCCUUAUUAAUUGGUUGAUAGAGUAAUUUUGGGGAUCCAUCAUUGAUGUUAGACAUUUUUUGAAUUGGGAACUAUUCUGAUUCUUACACGUCGUGUUUAGGUCUAACAUUUUCAGACUAUAAACUUCUUGGAUACGUGUCCAAUGUUCCUCAAAAGUCUCCUUACUUAUACAGGAAUCAAAUAUCUCUUUUUUACUAGCUUAUAUGAAUUUAUGAAUGAAGCAAUGGUAAGUUAGUAUAAUUUCUUAGGAAUUUGAUCAAAUAGAAUCUGCCUAUCCACCUUUGCUAAAAGGAUUCUCGAGGCUCUCAGAGAAUUAAUGGUAAACAAUAAGGAUAGGGAGAAUAAGGAGAUAAAGAGCAGAAGUAAGACAAGGUAGCUCCAAAAUAUUGGGGUUGUGACAAUGUUGAUAAUGUUGCUCUAGGCAAAACAUGACUAUGAAAGCAGACUCGACAUGGGUUUCCCCCAAACACUUGGAUUUUGCCUCUGGUUUCACAGGCUUUUGAAGUAUGGCUAGAUACUAGACCAGUGAUAGCCCCAAACACUAGGAUUUUGCCUCUGGUUUCACGGGCUUUUGAGAUACAAGAAGGGACUAGGCUUGUAUAUAAUAUUUUGAGCUGCUUUUAAGGUUUAUGGCACAUUUUUUUAUCUCUUAAUUGGAUUUGAAAUUCAAUACAACACCCUAAAUGGUUGUGUUACUAGUGAUCUUAUGUUUUUUUUUUGUAUUUUCCCAAUGAGAUGUUUUGCAACAAUAAAUGGUUGCUUAGGUGUUAAGGAAUGUUUAAAAAAUUUCUUAAAUAAAAUUUUAAAUUGUUUUCAAGAAUAAUUUUUUUUUUUUUGAGAACUUAAAUGUGAAAACCAGUUUUCUUGGCUUUUUCUCCAUGAAUGCACUAGAAAGAGUUUUUAAGAAAAGAAAUGAAAUCAUCAACCCAAUCAAAGAGAGAAAAAAAAAAAAGAAAUGAUGAAAUUAUCAAAAUGUUUCCUAGUUCCUGUUAGUUUUGUGUUGUAAGAAAACAUGUACGCUUGCAGGCUUGGUUAAAAUGUGUGAAAAUCAAUGAUACAUAUCAAGGUAGCUUAUUUAAAUCAGUGAUCAGGUUCAUAUUUAUUACGUCUUAGGUUUUAUUAGGUAAGUAGAGACUUAUGUUUUAAUUAGGUAAGUAGAGACUUAUGUUUUAAUUAUUCUUGUUGGUAUUAUCCUUUAUUCGUAAAAGCUAGAAUUCAUAUUUGUAUGUCUAUCAUCUUCUGAAAUACGUUCAUAUUGUUUGGUGGAAGUUUGAUGUAUAUUUUUGAAUUUACUUUGAUUAGUUUUCUUAAGACUUUUGUUGUGCUUAGGAGAGAAUUUGAUUAAUGUGCUUCUAAAGGAUUGUGGACUAUGUUGCAUGGGUUGGGGUAUGAGUGUCAAGUGCAGGUGUUUGUCUAAUUGUUCAAUCCUUCAUAACUCAAAUUUUAGGUUGUGAAGACUUGGCUAAAAAUGAUCCAAAAAAGGGGCAUGGACACCUUUUCCCUCUAAAAAAAAAUCAAUUAAAAUAAAUUGACAUAAAAAUUAAUUGACAUGAAAAUAAAUUGACAAUGAAAAUAUCCUAUUUAAAAGCUCCCACCUUAAGGUACCCUAGGUACUACUUUAGCUAAACAUGAACUCAACCUCUCCCAAGCCUUGGGUCUUCCUUUGUGACCCUUAGAGCUUCCCAUUAUAUGGUUCUCUUGAGUGCUCAAGUGGUCCACCAAUGGUUUUUUGGGACUGUACCUUAGGUACACCUUAAUGACCUUUAAGUAUUACCUUAAGAGACCCUAGGUACUACCUUAACUAAACUUGAACUCAACCUCUCCCAAGCCUCGGGCUUUCCUUUGUGAGCCUUAGAGCAUCUCAUUAUGUGGUUCUCUUGAGUGCUCAAGUGGUCCACCAAAGGUUUUUUGCAAUUGUACCUUAGGUACUACCUUAAGAGCCCUUAGGUACUACCUUAAUGGCCUUUAGGUACUACCUUGAGGGACCCUAGGUACUACCUUAGCUAAACAUGAACUCAACCUCUCCCAAGCCUCGGGUCUUCCUUUGUGACCCUUAGAGCAUCCCAUUAUGCGGUUCUCUUGAGUGCUCAAGAGGUUCACCAAAGGUUUUUUGGGACUGUACCUUAAGUACUACCUUAAGGGCCCUUAGGUACUACCUUAAUGGCCUUUAGGUACUACCUUAAGGGACCCUAGGUACUACCUUAACUAAACAUGAACUCAACCUCUCCCAAGCCUCGGGUCUUCCUUUGUGACCCUUAGAGUAUCCCAUUAUGUGGUUCUCUUCAGUGCUCAAGUGGUCCACCAAAGUUAUUUUGCACUGUACCUUAGGUACUACCUUAAGGGCCCUUAGGUACUACCUUAAUGGCCUUUAGGUACUACCUUAAGGGACCCUAGGUACUACCUUAGCUAAACUUGAACUCAACCUCUCCCAAGCCUCGGGUCUUCCUUUGUGACCCUUAGAGUAUCCCAUUAUGUGGUUCUCUUCAGUGCUCAAGUGGUCCACCAAAGUUAUUUUGCACUGUACCUUAAGUACUACCUUAAGAGCCCUUAGGUACUACCUUAAUGGCCUUUAGGUACUACCUUAAGGGACCUUAGGUACUACCUUAAGGGACCUUAGGUACUACCUUAAAGUAAACUUGAACUCAACCUCUCCCAAGCCUCGGGUCUUCCUUGGUGACCCUUAG
This 20652-nucleotide long non-coding RNA is filed under the name Vitis vinifera (wine grape). RNAcentral describes it as "long non-coding RNA (VVIN_LNC002918)". Lineage: Eukaryota; Viridiplantae; Streptophyta; Magnoliopsida; Vitales; Vitaceae. The record is from RNAcentral.